This 296-nucleotide long non-coding RNA is filed under the name Musa acuminata (dwarf banana). RNAcentral's name for it is "long non-coding RNA (MACU_LNC007013)". Lineage: Eukaryota; Viridiplantae; Streptophyta; Magnoliopsida; Zingiberales; Musaceae. The record is from RNAcentral.
UUUGAAGAAACUUCGAUAAAACGAUAUAUAGCUCACCACCAAGUUUAAAAAUCAAAAGGGAUACAGAAGAUCACCACCCUAAUGAUAAUAAACAAGGAUACAGAACUGAAAGCGAAAGACUCACCACUCAAGGACGCAUCCAAGAGAUACAGAGUUCAAAAGAGCACUCCAAGAGAGCUUCUGCCAAUAUCCUCAGUUUUCUAAAAGUCCUUUCUAAGUCCUAAACACCAAAAUAAAUACUAGUGCAUGAAACAACCCUUCAUGCAUAGGGAAUUUCGAAAUUAAGUGUUUACAGC